This 792-nucleotide long non-coding RNA is filed under the name Mytilus galloprovincialis (Mediterranean mussel). Lineage: Eukaryota; Metazoa; Mollusca; Bivalvia; Mytilida; Mytilidae. The record is from RNAcentral.
CGUACAUGUUCCGAAAUUUGGUAUUGUUUUAAAAUAAAACGAAAUAAGGAUAACCAUGCAUAUAUAUGAAUAUAAAAAAGAAGAUGUGGUAUGAUUGCCAAUGAGACAACUAUUCACAAAAGACAAAAUGACACAGACAUUAACAACUAUAGGUCACCGUACGGCCUGCAACAAUGAGCAAAGCCCAUACCGCAUAGUCAGCUAUAAAAGGCCCCGAUAAGACAAUGUAAAACAAUUAAAACGAGAAAACUAACGGCCUUAUUUAUGUAAAAAAAAUGAACGAAAAACAAAUAUGUAACACAUAAACAAACGACAACCACUGAAUUACAGGCUCCUGACUUGGGACAGGCACAUACAUACAUAAUGUGGUGGGGUUAAACAUGUUAGCAGGAUCCCAACCCUCCCCUAACCUGGGACAGUGGUACAUAUAUAUGAAGUAUAUUUAAAUCGAUUUUUAAUGACGUCAUCUGUUUUCCAACCAAUAACUAAAAGGUAUUACUUAAGUAAUAAAAGUGUAGAAUUUGUUUAUGAUAAAAGUAACUAUUCCAAACGCAAAAGAUACGACUCCUGCACAUUAAGAAAAAGCAAAUGUAAUGCUCUAUUUCAUUUUUAGACCUAACCAAGGGAGGCAACAAAUUAUUGUCAGUAGUAUUUUGACAGUGAUUUUAAUUAAGAUAAAAUUGGAGAACAUCUGUAGGGCAAUAAAUUAUUAACCAGUAGAAACUUAAGCAACAUACAAAGCCGUACUAUGUGACAAUUUACUACAUGUUUAAAUUUAAGCAACUAGCAAAC